UUAUCAAAAUAUACAAGAGGUGUUAGAUAAACACGUAGAAAAUAUUAUAUAAACAUUAAGAAAGUUAUUACAAGAUAUAUACCAUACAUAUAAAAAAAAUAAAUGUUCCACACAUAAGAUUUCAAUAUAAAUUUUCUAUUUCGUAUCUCAAGUUUAUUUCUGAAUAAAGGAAAUGCUAUUGUCUUAACAUACACGAAUGCUAUAUCAAAUAUAUUUAUGAUUUUACAUAUCUAUGUGCUGUAAGAUAAUAUUUAUAAUAGUGAAAAUGAAUGAUUUUCUUACCUAAUUUAUGAAGGAAACUUCCAUAAUUAUUAAGAGUAAAGGUAUGCCUGAGAGGAAUAUGCUUCAGAAAACAGAGGAUCCAACAUCAGGGCUCUUCUCAAAAGAUUAAGUGCCGCUUCAGUUUUACCCAACUGACUGCGUUUUGUAGAAAGAAAAAUGAUUGUUUUUGGUUUUCUAAAUAACUUUCGUACUUUAAAAAAAAUCGAUAAAGUUAAAACACAUUAGAAGAAGUAUGAAUAGAUAACAAC
Molecule: long non-coding RNA, 530 nt
Organism: Centruroides sculpturatus (bark scorpion)
Lineage: Eukaryota; Metazoa; Arthropoda; Arachnida; Scorpiones; Buthidae
Exons: 3
Source: RefSeq, a predicted model, not a curated record